RNAcentral lists this ribosomal RNA (438 nucleotides) under uncultured bacterium. RNAcentral describes it as "bacterial SSU rRNA". It matches the Rfam family "Bacterial small subunit ribosomal RNA", at positions 339 to 794 of the family's 1533-position model. The record is from RNAcentral.
UUACGGGAGGCAGCAGUGGGGAAUAUUGCACAAUGGAGGAAACUCUGAUGCAGCAACGCCGCGUGAGUGAUGAAGGUCUUCGGAUUGUAAAGCUCUGUCUUCUGGGACGAUAAUGACGGUACCAGAGGAGGAAGCCACGGCUAACUACGUGCCAGCAGCCGCGGUAAUACGUAGGUGGCAAGCGUUGUCCGGAUUUACUGGGCGUAAAGGAUGUGUAGGCGGAUAUUUAAGUGAGAUGUGAAAUCCCCGGGCUUAACUUGGGGGCUGCAUUUCAAACUGGAUGUCUAGAGUGCAGGAGAGGAAAGCAGAAUUCCUAGUGUAGCGGUGAAAUGCGUAGAGAUUAGGAAGAAUACCAGUGGCGAAGGCGGCUUUCUGGACUGUAACUGACGCUGAGGCAUGAAAGCGUGGGGAGCAAACAGGCUUAGAUACCCUGGUAGA